RNAcentral lists this ribosomal RNA (444 nucleotides) under uncultured bacterium. Its description in RNAcentral is "partial 16S ribosomal RNA". It matches the Rfam family "Bacterial small subunit ribosomal RNA", at positions 331 to 792 of the family's 1533-position model. The record is from RNAcentral.
CCAGACUCCUACGGGAGGCAGCAGUGAGGAAUAUUGGGCAAUGGAGGCAACUCUGACCCAGCCAUGCCGCGUGAGUGAAGAAGGUUUUCGGAUUGUAAAGCUCUUUCGGAUGUGACGAUGAUGACGGUAGCAUCUAAAGAAGCCCCGGCUAACUACGUGCCAGCAGCCGCGGUAAUACGUAGGGGGCAAGCGUUAUCCGGAUUUACUGGGUGUAAAGGGAGCGUAGACGGCAGCGCAAGUCUGAAGUGAAAUGCCGGGGCUUAACCCCGGAACUGCUUUGGAAACUGAGCAGCUAGAGUGCAGGAGAGGUAAGUGGAAUUCCUAGUGUAGCGGUGAAAUGCGUAGAUAUCAGGAGGAACACCGGUGGCGAAGGCGGCCUGCUGGACUGCGACUGACGUUGAGGCCCGAAAGCGUGGGGAGCAAACAGGAUUAGAUACCCGUGUA